AGCGAACGCUGGCGGCAGGCUUAACACAUGCAAGUCGAGCGGGCACUUCGGUGUCAGCGGCAGACGGGUGAGUAACACGUGGGAACGUACCCUUUGGUUCGGAAUAACGCUGGGAAACUAGCGCUAAUACCGGAUACGCCCUUUUGGGGAAAGGCUUGCUGCCGAAGGAUCGGCCGGCGUCUGGUUAGCUAGUUGGUGGGGUAAUGGCCUACCAAGGCGACGAUCAGUAGCUGGUCUGAGAGGAUGAUCAGCCACACUGGGACUGAGACACGGCCCGACUACCUCGGGAGGGCGGCAGUGGGGAUAAUGGAACAUUGGGCGCAGGCUGAUCCCAUCAUGGCGGGAAAGUUGUUGAGGGCUUAGGGUUGUAAAGCUCUUUUGUCCGGGACGAUAAUGACGGUACCGGAAGAAUAAGCCCCGGCUAACUUCGUG
RNAcentral lists this ribosomal RNA (432 nucleotides) under uncultured bacterium. RNAcentral describes it as "partial 16S ribosomal RNA". It matches the Rfam family "Bacterial small subunit ribosomal RNA", at positions 29 to 507 of the family's 1533-position model. The record is from RNAcentral.